UACGUAGGGGGCAAGCGUUGUUCGGAAUUACUGGGCGUAAAGCGCACGUAGGCGGCUUGGUAUGUCGGGUGUGAAAUCCCCGGGCUCAACCUGGGAAUUGCGAUGGAGACUGCAAGGCUAGAAUCUGGCAGAGGGGGGUAGAAUUCCACGUGUAGCAGUGAAAUGCGUAGAGAUGUGGAGGAACACCGAUGGCGAAGGCAGCCCCCUGGGUCAAGAUUGACGCUCAUGCACGAAAGCGUGGGGAGCAAACAGG
This 253-nucleotide ribosomal RNA is filed under the name uncultured bacterium. RNAcentral's name for it is "partial 16S ribosomal RNA". It matches the Rfam family "Bacterial small subunit ribosomal RNA", at positions 524 to 776 of the family's 1533-position model. The record is from RNAcentral.